This 323-nucleotide ribosomal RNA is filed under the name uncultured bacterium. RNAcentral describes it as "bacterial SSU rRNA". It matches the Rfam family "Bacterial small subunit ribosomal RNA", at positions 18 to 344 of the family's 1533-position model. The record is from RNAcentral.
CAUGGCUCAGGAUGAACGCUAGCGGCAGGCCUAACACAUGCAAGUCGAGGGAGAAGUAUUUUCGGAUACAGAAACCGGCGCACGGGUGCGUAACGCGUAUAUAAUCUACCUUAUACAGAGGGAUAGCCCGAAGAAAUUUGGAUUAAUACUUCAUAGUAUUAUUGAUUGGCAUCGAUUAAUAAUUAAAGCUGAGGCGGUAUAAGAUGAGUAUGCGUCCUAUUAGCUAGUUGGUAUGGUAACGGCAUACCAAGGCUACGAUAGGUAGGGGUCCUGAGAGGGAGAUCCCCCACACUGGUACUGAGACACGGACCAGACUCCUACGG